GACGAACGCUGGCGGCGUGCUUAACACAUGCAAGUCGAACGGAAAGGCCCUGCUUGCAGGGUACUCGAGUGGCGAACGGGUGAGUAACACGUGGGUGAUCUGCCCUGCACUUCGGGAUAAGCCUGGGAAACUGGGUCUAAUACCGGAUAGGAGCCAUUUUUAGUGUGAUGGUUGGAAAGUUUUUUCAGUGUAGGAUGAGCUCGCGGCCUAUCAGCUUGUUGGUGGGGUAAUGGCCUACCAAGGCGGCGACGGGUAGCCGGCCUGAGAGGGUGGACGGCCACAUUGGGACUGAGAUACGGCCCAGACUCCUACGGGAGGCAGCAGUGGGGAAUAUUGCACAAUGGGCGCAAGCCUGAUGCAGCGACGCCGCGUGGGGGAGGACGGCCUUCGGGUUGUAAACUCCUUUCGCUAGGGACGAAGCUUUUUGUGACGGUACCUAGAUAAGAAGCACCGGCUAACUACGUG
This 465-nucleotide ribosomal RNA is filed under the name uncultured bacterium. RNAcentral describes it as "partial 16S ribosomal RNA". It matches the Rfam family "Bacterial small subunit ribosomal RNA", at positions 28 to 507 of the family's 1533-position model. The record is from RNAcentral.